GCACGCACGCCAAAGCGCGCUGGAAGGGCGUUCCGUGACGUGUCCAUAUACGUCUGCUUUAUCAAGCGUCUUCCCGCGCGGCAGCCUCCCUAUUCUUCCUGCUCCUCAGAGCUUCCUGUCUCUCCAGCGCUUUUACUUUUCAAUUUCCAGGACUCAAAUUCACUGCCAUGUCUUCUGAAGAAGGGAAGCUGUUCGUGGGAGGACUCAACUUCAAUACUGAUGAGCAGGCGCUGGAAGACCACUUCAGCAGCUUUGGGCCUAUUUCUGAGGUGGUUGUUGUCAAGGACCGGGAGACUCAGCGAUCCCGGGGUUUUGGCUUCAUCACCUUCACCAAUCCAGAACAUGCCUCAGAUGCCAUGAAAGCCAUGAAUGGAGAGUCCCUGGAUGGUCGGCAGAUCCGGGUGGACCAUGCAGGCAAGUCUGCCCGGGGCACCAGAGGGGGUGCCUUUGGGGCCCAUGGGCGUGGUCGCAGCUACUCUAGAGGUGGUGGGGACCAGGGCUAUGGGAGUGGCCGGUAUGACAGUCGACCUGGAGGAUAUGGAUAUGGAUACGGAAGGUCCCGAGACUAUAGUGGCAGAAGCCAGGGUGGCUAUGACCGCUACUCAGGAGGAAAUUAUCGAGACAAUUAUGACAACUGAGUUGAGGCAUGCACACGUUAAGUAGGUGGAUGGAGACUCAGGAACUUCUCAGACUUCUGUCUCACCUACUGAGCCAGGCCCAGGUUAGGGGCAUUAUGGCUAACCCCCCCACCAGGGUCUCACUGAGUUGCUUUAGUGUCUCAUUUUUGCUGAGGCUGGCUUUGAACUUGAGAUCCUUCUGCCUCAGUUUCCCAAGCUGCUGGGACUACAGGUAUGUACCAUCAUGCCAGGCCACCCACCUAUAUUUUGAGACAGUCUUCACUAAUUUCCUGUGGUUGGCCUCAAGUUUAACAUUUGACCUGCCUUAGUCUCCAGAGUUGCUGGGAUUAUAGGCCUGUACCACCAUGCCCAGCUGCCAUUGAGUUUUUUUUUUUUUUUUUUUUUUGUAGAUGGACACAAUGCCUUUAUUUAUUUAUUUUUACGUAGUGCUGAGGAUCGAACCCAGUGCCUCAUGCAUGAGGGGCAAGAGUUCUACCACUGAGCUACAACCCCAGCCCCCAUUUUUUUUUCUUUUUUUAAAGAGAGAGAGAGAGAGAGAGAAUUUUUUUUUUAAUAUUUAUUUUUUAGUUUUCAGUGGACACAACAUCUUUGUAUGUGGUGCUGAGGAUCGAACCCGGGCCGCACGCAUGCCAGGCGAGCGCGCUACCGCUUGAGCCACAUCCCCAGCCCUGCCAUUGAGUUUUUGAUACAGACUGCUUUGGGUGCUUAUGGAUGCUUGAAAAAUAUAAAAUCUUUUUAAUGCA
Marmota monax (woodchuck) is the source of this 1381-nucleotide RNA transcript. It is a transcript of the gene named RNA binding motif protein 3, with no coding region annotated. The transcript has 8 exons. The record is from RefSeq and is a predicted model, not a curated record. NCBI's taxonomy places the organism in Eukaryota, Metazoa, Chordata, Mammalia, Rodentia, Sciuridae.